CCUACGGGGGGCUGCAGUGAGGAAUUUUGCGCAAUGGCCGCAAGGCUGACGCAGCAACGCCGCGUGGGUGAUGAAGGCCUUCGGGUCGUAAAGCCCUGUCAGGUGGGAAGAAAGGUUUCAAGGGGAAAGACUUGGGAUUUGACGGUACCACCCGAGGAAGCACCGGCUAACUCCGUGCCAGCAGCCGCGGUAAUACGGAGGGUGCGAGCGUUAUUCGGAAUUACUGGGCGGGAGGCGCGUGUAGGCUGGGAAAGCCCUGGGCUUAACCUGGGAAGUGCAUUGGAAACUGUGUGUCUUGAGUACUGGAGAGGAAGGGGGAAUGCCCGGUGUAGAGGUGAAAUUCGUAGAGAUCGGGAGGAAUACCAGUGGCGUAGGCGCCCUUCUGGACGGUAACUGACGCUGAGACGCGAAAGCGUGGGGAGCAAACAGGAUUAGAUACCCGAGUAGUC
This 449-nucleotide ribosomal RNA is filed under the name uncultured bacterium. Its description in RNAcentral is "partial 16S ribosomal RNA". It matches the Rfam family "Bacterial small subunit ribosomal RNA", at positions 338 to 795 of the family's 1533-position model. The record is from RNAcentral.